Procambarus clarkii (red swamp crayfish) is the source of this 1513-nucleotide long non-coding RNA. RefSeq lists it as uncharacterized. NCBI's taxonomy places the organism in Eukaryota, Metazoa, Arthropoda, Malacostraca, Decapoda, Cambaridae. The record is from RefSeq and is a predicted model, not a curated record.
ACUUGGUCGGAGGACGGGUUGGCUGCAGCCAGAGCUGUAGUACAGAAUGACGUUGCCUGAUCACAAUGGGUCCCUCCCCCCUGUCGAAACCCCACACUGUGAUAAGCCUCCGGGUAUAAGUGUUGGGUCCGUGGCAACAGCUGCCCCAGUAUACACCUGCACACACAGCAUACCUGCAGUCACGACAGCACAUCUGUUUACCUAUCUCGGGUCAAGUGCCGAAGAAACAGUAGAGGCCGGUGGUCCAGGCUCUUGUGUACACCUCAGGUGUGCAACGUCAGGUGUGCAGCUCGUGCAACAUGUUCAAGCGCAGUCUUCUCAUCAUUGCCCUGGUGGUGGUGUGCGCCGUUGGGAUUCUCCAGCAAGACUCCUAUCAACCCGACUGUAAUGGGAAUUAUCCUCUAGACAAAGUAGCUGAUCCCAUGAACUGUGCCAACUAUUACAUCUGUAUUGAUGAUGGUAUUCCUUCGGACCACGCUGUUCCCUGCCCAAAUGACAAUUAUUUUGAUUCAGAAAUACUUGACUGUGCCCCCAUGCCUGAUGACGGUUGUUGAAGCUACCUGCAAGCCUACUGACUGCCACAUCACCUGCAACAGCUUCUUCAGCUUGAUCAGUGAUGCAUUCGAUUAUGGUAAAUAUUAUAUUUGUAUUGGAGGAGCUCCAGACUUAACAGUUAUCUGUACCUCUGACGCGCCCUUCUUCAACGGUGAGAACUGUGUCAGUGACGAGGAAGUUUGUUGCACAGUCUAUUGUGUUCCUUACUGUCAGCCAGGGAUUGUGCAGUCCCCAAACCCCACAGACUGCACCAAGUACUACAUAUGCACUCAGGAGGGACCAGUGGACUCAAGCUUGCACUUUCCUUGUAAUAGCGGACACAUUUUGACUACAAAACUGGUCGAUGUGUCUCAGGUACUUCCUGUACUAACUUAUGCCUUUCCACAUCUUAUUAACCGCGUCGCUGUCGGGAACUUCAAUAACCACUACAACCACAUCAAUAACCACCGCUAUUACUAACAUAAAUUACCAAUUCUUGAGAGUGAAGAUUUCCUUCGUUACACUACUUGCUGGCUGUCUCCAAUGUGCUCAUGCAGGCGAUGAGUCACAAUAACGUGGCUGAAGUAUGUUGCCUAGGCCACACAUUAGCAAGUGAAGGGACGACGACGUUUCAGACCGUCCUGGACCGACGACCGAAACGUCGUCGUCCCUUCACUUUCUAGUGUGUGGUCUGGUCAACAACCUCCAAUGUGCUUACUUUAUUAGCGGGAAUGUGAUCAGUCCGCCGGAUAAUACACUGUACCAGAAUUGAUGUCAAUGAAUAUGAAAAUCUCUGCUUAUUCAUUGUUUAAUUGAUUUGCAUUAGCCAAGAAAUCCUUAAAUUUUGAUAAAGUGAAUUUAUCCAGGACUGAAUUAUCUAUAUUUUCAUCUUGGUUCUGUAUAAUGCAAUGUAUUAUAUAAAUGAAAUCAUAAUGUUAUGCUUGUAAAAUAUAAUGACAAUAAAUAUUAUUGCAACGUA